This 472-nucleotide long non-coding RNA is filed under the name Helianthus annuus (common sunflower). Its description in RNAcentral is "sRNA HanXRQr2_Chr13g0577241". Lineage: Eukaryota; Viridiplantae; Streptophyta; Magnoliopsida; Asterales; Asteraceae. The record is from RNAcentral.
GGUUCGAAUCUCGUGACUACCGUUAAGGUUUGAUUUGGGUUUUACACAAAUACGUAUUCCAUUAUGUUAAACUAUAUGUUUAACUACCCGGAUACUCCCAACUACACACUUACAAUCAAACAAACUAUUACUUCAUCAGAAGAUUCAGAACAAUAAAGUAUACGCUUAAUUAUCAGAAGGAAUAGUAUCCAGAAGCUUGUUAAAUCAAUACUGCAUGCUUAUACUGUAAUUACAGUAUAUGGGAGUAAGAAUUGGAUCCGGCACCGAAGGCAUCAAGAAGUGGCUUAUUUUAUUAAUGAAAUCAAAUUAAGAAAUAUUGUUUUAUGUAAAUCAAAAUUAUCUUUAUUAAAGCUACCAUUAUAAAACAUAGGUUUAUCCCAUCUAUUUAAAUAAAAUCCGGUGUUUUCUAAACACUGAUAUUUUUCCUAACUCACGGUCCUGAUGAAAUUUCCGCUGCAAUGUUUUUCAAAAU